UAAAUUGAAUUUAAUUGAUAGGAAUUCAAGUCAAAGAACAACAGAUGUUGGAUCUAUACAUUAAAUGUCAACCAGAAGUCAUUUAACAGUUCUAAGCAUAUAUUCAUGUAUGGGGAAAAUGAAAAAAACAUAAUACAGGUUAUGUUUGUGUUUCAAUUAGCCACAACAUCCUCCUCUCUGAGCAACAGUUCCAUCUCUUGCGCCUGAUGAGCCCUGGGGGCGUCCAUAUCCAACCUUGAUACCCGAAGACUCAUUGGAUACAUCAAAAACGCCUUCCUGGAUAUUCUGAAGGAUCUUUCCUGCAGUCCUUAUAAAGGCCUCCUCAACAUUUUGAGCUGUUCUUGCAGAAGCCUCCAAGAAUAAAAGUCCAUUUUCCUUGGCAAACUGUUCUCCUUCCUCUUUGCUGACAGCCCUCCGGUGAGAAAGAUCACAUUUGUUCCCUAUAAGCAUGAUUGUCAUGUUGGGAUUUGCAUGCUGCCGAGCAUCCUCUAGCCAGCUUGCUAAGUGAUUAAAUGUUUCUCUCCUCGUAAUGUCGUAAACCAGAAGUGCUCCAGCUGCUCCUCUGUAGUAUGAUCUAGUGAUGGAUCUAAAGGAUUCUUGGCCAGCAGUGUCCCAAAUCUGAAGCUUGAUGGGUCGGCCAUCGAUGGUAACCAUGCGAGCGCCGAACUCAACACCGAUAGUGAGAUCAUGCACAGGCUGGAACCUCUUAUCCGUGAAUUGCAAGAGCAGGCAUGAUUUCC
RNAcentral lists this unclassified non-coding RNA (740 nucleotides) under Hevea brasiliensis (rubber tree). Lineage: Eukaryota; Viridiplantae; Streptophyta; Magnoliopsida; Malpighiales; Euphorbiaceae. The record is from RNAcentral.